GUAGGUGGCAAGCGUUGUCCGGAAUUAUUGGGCGUAAAGCGCGCGCAGGCGGUCCUUUAAGUCUGAUGUGAAAGCCCACGGCUCAACCGUGGAAGGUCAUUGGAAGCCGGGGGACUUGAGUACAGAAGAGGAAAGCGGAAUUCCACGUGUAGCGGUGAAAUGCGUAGAGAUGUGGAGGAACACCAGUGGCGAAGGCGGCUUUCUGGUCUGUAACUGACGCUGAGGCGCGAAAGCGUGGGGAGCAAACAGGGAUUAGAUACCCUGGUAGUCCACGCCGUAAACGAUGAGUGCUAAGUGUUAGGGGGUUUCCCGCCCCUUAGUGCUGCAGCUAACGCAGUAAGCACUCCGCCUGGGGAGUACGCCGCAAGGCUG
RNAcentral lists this ribosomal RNA (372 nucleotides) under uncultured organism. RNAcentral's name for it is "partial 16S ribosomal RNA". It matches the Rfam family "Bacterial small subunit ribosomal RNA", at positions 527 to 896 of the family's 1533-position model. The record is from RNAcentral.